This 385-nucleotide ribosomal RNA is filed under the name uncultured bacterium. RNAcentral describes it as "bacterial SSU rRNA". It matches the Rfam family "Bacterial small subunit ribosomal RNA", at positions 370 to 772 of the family's 1533-position model. The record is from RNAcentral.
AAUGGGCGAAAGCCUGAUGCAGCAACGCCGCGUGAGCGAUGAAGGCCUUCGGGUCGUAAAGCUCUGUCCUCAAGGAAGAAUUUUGACGGUACUUGAGGAGGAAGCCCCGGCUAACUACGUGCCAGCAGCCGCGGUAAUACGUAGGGGGCAAGCGUUAUCCGGAAUUACUGGGCGUAAAGGGUGCGUAGGUGGCCUGACAAGUCAGGGGUCAAAGGCAACGGCUCAACCGUUGUAAGCCCUUGAAACUGUCGGGCUUGAGUUCAGGAGAGGAAAGCGGAAUUCCAAGUGUAGCGGUGAAAUGCGUAGAUAUUUGGAGGAACACCAGUGGCGAAGGCGGCUUUCUGGACUGAUACUGACACUGAGGCACGAAAGCGUGGGGAGCAAA